AGAGACCUCUCGAUGGCCGCGGAGACGCAUGUCGUCUGUGAGGAACUUCCGGGCUCCACAGAGCAACGAUGGCGGAUAACGUCCGCCCAGGGCGACCUGAGAGAUAGCGCAGCAGAGAACAGACCGCCUCGGUUUCCGAGGUAAGGGUGAAACGGCGGUGCAAGAGACCACCGGGCCUGUGGCAACACGGGCCGCAUGGCAAGCCUCAUCGGGAGCAAGGUCAAGCAGGAUGCCAGGGAACUGCUCGUUCCGCAUCCGGGUAGACCGCUUGAGCCAACCGGCAACGGUUGGCCUAGAUGGAUGGCCAUCCACGCUUCGGCGUGACAGAACCCGGGGUAUGAGGGGUCUCGUUUU
This 354-nucleotide RNase P RNA is filed under the name Aeriscardovia sp. Its description in RNAcentral is "RNase P RNA component class A". It matches the Rfam family "Bacterial RNase P class A". Rfam says of the family: Ribonuclease P (RNase P) is a ubiquitous endoribonuclease, found in archaea, bacteria and eukarya as well as chloroplasts and mitochondria. The record is from RNAcentral. Lineage: Bacteria; Bacillati; Actinomycetota; Actinomycetes; Bifidobacteriales; Bifidobacteriaceae.